GACUUGAGAGUUGGACUAACUCUAAUUCAUUUUCAAAAACAGAGGAAAUUUUUUUUUUUUUCAAUAGGUGUGUAGUCGUUUUAAGUGAAGGCACCGAUAGGGGAAACUGCAGAAGAGCAGCGAAACAGGCCUCCCUCGGGAGGCGGACUCGCCUGACAUGGGAGAGGAAUGGAAUACUUUACUCGCCGCAUGCUUCUCCUUCUUCUUCCUAAUCCUUCUUUUCCUUUUUCAGUUUUCAAAAAUUAAAAUCCCUCGCCGAGAUCAAAUUCAAAAAUCUGCGGCUUCCGUUUCCUUCCUUUCGUUGAAUCCCUUCCCGUCCGUCACACCUCGCUCAUUUUCUUUUUUCAGAUAAUCGGAUUACAGGUUCCCAGAAUAUAUCAUCUUCUCUCUCCGAAAGAAAUGGGGCCUUUUGUUUUGUUUCUGGGCUUCACCGUCCAUUCAGCUUUCCCAACUACGCUUGGUGCGUGAACCGUUUACUUACGAAGCAGAAAUUUGUUUCUUCGCUUUGCGUUUCUUUUGUUUCUUUCUUUAGUUGUCACUUCUGCAUCUGGGUUUUGUCUGGGUUUUAGCGAUCGAGGAAUAGAAUCCCAAGACUGCCUUAAAUAUUUUAAUGGGGUGCUUGGCAUAACAGCGGGUACUUUGAAUCUCUUUUUGCUUCUUUAUGAAACUUUUUGAAUCCUAAUGACCUGGAAGAAGCUUCUAACGUUUGAGGUUUAAACCCACUCCCUUGUUUUUGGGCUUUGAAAUGGUUCUCAUUCUCUUGGAUUUUUCGAUUCCUCGCUGCUUUUACAACGAUGCUGUCUCAACUCUUUUCGAGAUUUCGCCCUUUUUAUAGCAUCUUUCCCUGUUUAUAAAUUUGGAACUGGAGCACAAUAUCGGAAAACCCUUUAACGGAAUCUUCACCGGUUUGAGGUUCUAAUCAUCAGAAAAUGGAAUGUGCUGCAAACCCAUCCAAAUUAUCUUCAAACGUAUCCCACGUUGUCUCCAUUUUCGCCAAAGUUUGCAGCUUCAGAUCAAUUGGAGUGAAUCCAAACCUCAGCGAUAAUGGCACUACUCUGUCAGGUGAAGACAGCAGCGAUGCAACUGAAGAGACACUGUGUGAUGCCGAGAAAGUCCAACCACACCCUCCUGUUGAUUUUCCCAAGCUCUUUGACACAGUUUCUGCACUAAAAAUGGCUUAUCUUCAGUUCCAGGAAGCCCACAUUCCUUAUGACCCAGAGAAAAUCAAAGCUGCUGAUGAACUUAUUGUGAACAAACUGGAAGCACUCUGCAAGAUUAAACGUGCUUAUAAGGCGAAGCAAUUCAAAAAAGCUAACCCCUGCUCGACCUCUGCUCUACUGAUAGAGGAGAUUCAAGUUCUGGAGCGAUUGUUGGCAAAUUUGCACUCUCAAAUGAAGUCUAAAGACUCUCAGAUCCUUCUCUUGCGGCUAGAGCUGCAGAAUUUGAGUUUGCAGAAUCCAAGUCUGUUUGAGAAGUUCAGACAGAAUGAGGAGAAAGUUUGGGAUUUGAGCUUCACCUCAUUCCACAACACCUUCAGAGAAGUUUCUAAAGCCAUUCAUGAUUUCGCAAAGCCGUUGAUUAGCUUGAUGAGAGCUUCCGGUUGGGAUCUAGACUUGGCUGCAAAUAAGAUUGAAGGUUCAGUGGUGUAUUCAAAAAGAUCCCACAAGAAGUAUGCAUUUGAAGCCUAUGUUACCCGUAGAAUGUUUGGCGGCAUUUCACUGGAAUCAGAUUAUGUUGUUGAUGACAUUAUUAAGUCUCAAGACCCAAUUGAAGCUCUCACCAAAUACCCAGAUUCAAAUUUCGCAAAAUUCUGCAGAUUGAAGUAUCUACUGGUUGUUCAUCCCAAGAUGGAAGCAUCAUUUUUCAGGAAUUUGGACCAGAGGAAUUUUGUAUUAGGGGGCAAACAUCCGAGGACCCCGUUCUACCAAGCAUUUGUGAAAAUGGCUAGGUGGGUUUGGGUUCUAAGAGGAAUUGCAGCCAUCAUGAAACCCAAAGCAGAGAUAUUUGGAAUUAAAAGAGGAAGCAAAUUCUCAGAUGUUUACAUGGAGUGUGUGGAGGAGGAGAUGGAGUAUGAAGCUAGAGGUGAUGAUGAAGGGCAAGCAAGAUUCAAAGUUGAGUUUAUGGUCAUUCCGGGAUUUAGAAUUGGAGAGAAAAUGGUCCGGUCCCAGGUUUACCUAUCAAAAAAUUAAAUCCUUGAUUGCAUAUGAAAGAUUGAUCAAGCUUAUUGGGAAAGCUUCCAUGCUUCAUGAGGCAAAGUCCUUGGGGCUGCCCAGUAUUGUGUACUUGGAACAUUAAUCACCAUUCAUUUGGUGUGUCACAUGCACUUUUAAUGAUGAUGUGCUUUAUGUUCGCAUAUGUACACAUCUGCUUGUUGCAACCAACGCACCCCCCUCCCCCUCACAAAGCAUCUACUCAAGAAGAAGUUCGAGUUUCUUUUCAAUGAGGUAUUACAGAAGCCAGUCUCCACGCAAGAGUGUUAUAUAAAGAGAUAGGAAGAGAGAAGCCCGCUUGAUUGAGAAUCAAGAGGGUGUUUUUCUUUCAUGGGUAAUCACAAGUUUAAAUUAUCAGGCAUGAUGCCAAAUGCCUGGUUUUUCAAACUCAGAGACAUGAGCAGGAGUAGCAAAAACCAUAACACCUCUCACUCUCGUCCUAGUAAGAAAAAACUGCCCACCUCAGCAGCAGAAUCACACAAACUCCAGCUUUCCCAGCCAACAAACUCCUACAGAUUUUACAAUUCGCCAAUGAACCCAAAAGCCUCAGAUACCCAUUUCCCUAGUCCACCAAGAAAAUCAUUCCGUGGAAGAUCAUCCAGAAGAAAAACCAUUUGUAGUCCUCCUGCUGUUCUGUCCUCUUGUGCGUCCCAACCUGGGAAAAACUUGGUCCGGACUAAAUCCCGUCGAGCUCAAUCUUGGGACUAUAUUGUCUCCCCCUUUGACGUCCCUUCCUCAGAGUUUGACUGCCAUGAAACAUCGUAUGAAUGCGCUUCCAGUACAAUGGCUGCUUCUGAGUCAUUUGAUGGUCCAGCCACGUGUUCGAGCUUUUGCAAUUUUCAAGUCAGUUCAACUGCUGAUAUUGCCAUUGACAUGAAUAAGAAGUCUUUGAUCACAAGGAGCAAUAAAAUGGUAGACAAGUUUGAUACAAUGUCUGAGCUUGAGCUCCCUUCAAUAUUGACAAGGCCAUUAAAAUUUGAAGACAUGGCCACUGAAGCUGCCAAAUUUGGCAGGAUUUCUUCCAAGUUGGAGGAUAUGGAUGCUCAUGGGUCUAUCUCUCUAAAAUUUGUCAAGGAAGAAAGCAUCAAGAAUCGAAAAGAACCAAGGACCAGUUCUCUAGUCCGGAAGUGUGCAACAAACAACUCCACAGGUGUAAAGCUUCGAGGGAAUCCUCCGAAAAUAUCGAGCAGGAAGAUUCAGGCCUCUGGCCGAAGGAGUGUAUCGCCUGGCAGGAACUUGAAAUCCAAGGCGAGGAACCUUUCAAAGAGCUUUGCAAUUGUGAAGUCCUCAUUUGAUCCUCAAAGUGACUUCAGGGAUUCAAUGGUGGAGAUGAUUGUGGAGAACAAUAUCUGGGCAUCAAAGGAUUUGGAAGAGCUUCUAGUAUGUUACCUUUCGUUGAAUUCAGAUAAGUACCACGACCUUAUCAUCAGAGCAUUUGAGCAAAUCUGCUUUGAUAUGACUGAUCUCCACAUGUAAAAUUCUUCUAAUUAUGCUAAUGAUCCUAUAAACUGACUAGGGACUUUAGAAACGUGGCCUUUACGUUAUUCAUAUUCUUGGACUUGCAGUCUAAAUCUUCGUAUUGAAAUUUUCGAUCUGUUUUCUUCUCUACAAACCUAAACAAUUAUGAGGCCGGAUGCAUUAAAGGUAAAAAUGGCUACAAAAUUAUACAUGGCCCCCA
Molecule: RNA transcript, 3888 nt
Organism: Malania oleifera
Lineage: Eukaryota; Viridiplantae; Streptophyta; Magnoliopsida; Santalales; Ximeniaceae
Gene name: protein GRAVITROPIC IN THE LIGHT 1
Exons: 3
Source: RefSeq, a predicted model, not a curated record